Molecule: ribosomal RNA, 1010 nt
Filed under: Pantoea agglomerans
Lineage: Bacteria; Pseudomonadati; Pseudomonadota; Gammaproteobacteria; Enterobacterales; Erwiniaceae
Description: bacterial SSU rRNA
Rfam family: Bacterial small subunit ribosomal RNA
Source: RNAcentral
UAGGUGGGGUAAUGGCUCACCUAGGCGACGAUCCCUAGCUGGUCUGAGAGGAUGACCAGCCACACUGGAACUGAGACACGGUCCAGACUCCUACGGGAGGCAGCAGUGGGGAAUAUUGCACAAUGGGCGCAAGCUGAUGCAGCCAUGCCGCGUGUAUGAAGAAGGCCUUCGGGUUGUAAAGUACUUUCAGCGGGGAGGAAGGUGUUGAGGUUAAUAACCUCAGCAAUUGACGUUACCCGCAGAAGAAGCACCGGCUAACUCCGUGCCAGCAGCCGCGGUAAUACGGAGGGUGCAAGCGUUAAUCGGAAUUACUGGGCGUAAAGCGCACGCAGGCGGUCUGUCAAGUCGGAUGUGAAAUCCCCGGGCUCAACCUGGGAACUGCAUUCGAAACUGGCAGGCUAGAGUCUUGUAGAGGGGGGUAGAAUUCCAGGUGUAGCGGUGAAAUGCGUAGAGAUCUGGAGGAAUACCGGUGGCGAAGGCGGCCCCCUGGACAAAGACUGACGCUCAGGUGCGAAAGCGUGGGGGAGCAAACAGGAUUAGAUACCCUGGUAGUCCACGCCGUAAACGAUGUCGACUUGGAGGUUGUGCCCUUGAGGCGUGGCUUCCGGAGCUAACGCGUUAAGUCGACCGCCUGGGGAGUACGGCCGCAAGGUUAAAACUCAAAUGAAUUGACGGGGGCCCGCACAAGCGGUGGAGCAUGUGGUUUAAUUCGAUGCAACGCGAAGAACCUUACCUACUCUUGACAUCCASVGAAYUURGCARAGAUGCUUURKUGCCUUCGGAACBCUGAGACAGGUGCUGCAUUGCUGUCGUCAGCUCGUGUUGUGAAAUGUUGGGUUAAUUCCCGCAACGAGCGCAACCCUUAUCCUUUGUUUCCAGCGGUCCUUCCGGGAACUCAAAGAGACUUCCAGUUAUAAACUGGAGGAAGGUGGGGAUGACGUCAAAUCAUCAUGGCCCUUACGAGUAGGGCUACACACGUGCUACAAUCGCGCAUACAAAUAGAAGCGACA